This 306-nucleotide ribosomal RNA is filed under the name uncultured bacterium. Its description in RNAcentral is "partial 16S ribosomal RNA". It matches the Rfam family "Bacterial small subunit ribosomal RNA", at positions 505 to 807 of the family's 1533-position model. The record is from RNAcentral.
GACAGCAGCAGCCGCGGGAAUACAGAGGGUGCGAGCGUUAAUCGGAUUUACUGGGCGUAAAGCGUGCGUAGGCGGCUUCUUAAGUCGGAUGUGAAAUCCCUGAGCUUAACUUAGGAAUUGCAUUCGAUACUGGGAAGCUAGAGUAUGGGAGAGGAUGGUAGAAUUCCAGGUGUAGCGGUGAAAUGCGUAGAGAUCUGGAGGAAUACCGAUGGCGAAGGCAGCCAUCUGGCCUAAUACUGACGCUGAGGUACGAAAGCAUGGGGAGCAAACAGGAUUAGAUACCCCCGUAGUCCCUGUCUCUUAUAC